RNAcentral lists this ribosomal RNA (388 nucleotides) under uncultured bacterium. RNAcentral's name for it is "bacterial SSU rRNA". It matches the Rfam family "Bacterial small subunit ribosomal RNA", at positions 30 to 419 of the family's 1533-position model. The record is from RNAcentral.
AUUGAACGCUGGCGGAAUGCUUUACACAUGCAAGUCGAACGGCAGCACGGACUUCGGUCUGGUGGCGAGUGGCGAACGGGUGAGUAAUAUAUCGGAACGUAUCCAAUAAUGGGGGAUAACUAAUCGAAAGGUUGGCUAAUACCGCAUACGCCCUACGGGGAAAGCUAGGGACCUUCGGGCCUGGCGUUAAUGGAGCGGCUGAUAUCUGAUUAGCUAGUUGGUGAGGUAAAGGCUCACCAAGGCGACGAUCAGUAGCUGGUCUGAGAGGACGACCAGCCACACUGGAACUGAGACACGGUCCAGACUCCUACGGGAGGCAGCAGUGGGGAAUUUUGGACAAUGGGCGCAAGCCUGAUCCAGCCAUUCCGCGUGAGUGAAGAAGGCCUGG